AUUUAUAUAGUUUAAACAAAACAAUACACUUUCAUUGUAUCAAUAAUACUAUAUCAGUAUUUAUAAAUA
This 69-nucleotide transfer RNA is filed under the name Lipotactes tripyrga. Its description in RNAcentral is "tRNA-Glu". Lineage: Eukaryota; Metazoa; Arthropoda; Insecta; Orthoptera; Tettigoniidae. The record is from RNAcentral.